ACGCUAGCGGCAGGCCUAAUACAUGCAAGUCGAGGGGUAGAGAGAGCUUGCCUUCUUGAGACCGGCGCACGGGUGCGUAACGCGUAUGCAACCUACCUUUAUCUGGGGGAUAGCCCGGAGAAAUCCGGAUUAAUACCGCAUAAAAUCACAGAAUAGCAUUAUUUAAUGAUCAAACAUUUAUGGGAUGAAGAUGGGCAUGCGUGUCAUUAGCUAGUUGGCGGGGUAACGGCCCACCAAGGCGACGGUGACUAGGGGAUCUGAGAGGAUGGCCCCCCACACUGGUACUGAGACACGGACCAGACUCCUACGGGAGGCAGCAGUAAGGAAUAUUGGUCAAUGGAGGCAACUCUGAACCAGCCAUGCCGCGUGCAGGAAGACUGCCCUAUGGGUUGUAAACUGCUUUUAUCCGGGAAUAAACCUUUCUACGUGUAGGAAGCUGAAUGUACCGGAAGAAUAAGGAUCGGCUAACUCCGUGCCAGCAGCCGCGGUAAUACGGAGGAUCCAAGCGUUAUCCGGAUUUAUUGGGUUUAAAGGGUGCGUAGGCGGCCUGUUAAGUCAGGGGUGAAAGACGGUAGCUCAACUAUCGCAGUGCCCUUGAUACUGAUGGGCUUGAAUGGACUAGAGGUAGGCGGAAUGAGACAAGUAGCGGUGAAAUGCAUAGAUAUGUCUCAGAACACCGAUUGCGAAGGCAGCUUACUAUGGUCUUAUUGACGCUGAGGCACGAAAGCGUGGGGAUCAAACAGGAUUAGAUACCCUGGUAGUCCACGCCCUAAACGAUGAACACUCGCUGUUGGCGAUACACAGUCAGCGGCUAAGCGAAAGCGUUAAGUGUUCCACCUGGGGAGUACGCCCGCAAGGGUGAAACUCAAAGGAAUUGACGGGGGCCCGCACAAGCGGAGGAGCAUGUGGUUUAAUUCGAUGAUACGCGAGGAACCUUACCCGGGCUUGAAAGUUAGUGAAUGAUCUAGAGAUAGAUCAGUGAGCAAUCACACGAAACUAGGUGCUGCAUGGCUGUCGUCAGCUCGUGCCGUGAGGUGUUGGGUUAAGUCCCGCAACGAGCGCAACCCCUAUGUUUAGUUGCCAGCAUGUAAUGAUGGGGACUCUAAACAGACUGCCUGUGCAAACAGAGAGGAAGGAGGGGACGACGUCAAGUCAUCAUGGCCCUUACGUCCGGAGCUACACACGUGCUACAAUGGAUGGUACAGAGGGCAGCUAGCUGGCAACAGUAUGCGAAUCUCACAAAGCCAUUCACAGUUCGGAUUGGGGUCUGCAACUCGACCCCAUGAAGUUGGAUUCGCUAGUAAUCGCGUAUCAGCUAUGACGCGGUGAAUACGUUCCCGGGCCUUGUACACACCGCCCGUCAAGCCAUGGAAGUUGGGGGUACCUAAAGUAUGUAACCGCAAGGAGCGUCCUAGGGUAAAACCGAUAACUG
This 1432-nucleotide ribosomal RNA is filed under the name uncultured organism. RNAcentral describes it as "SSU rRNA". It matches the Rfam family "Bacterial small subunit ribosomal RNA". The record is from RNAcentral.